RNAcentral lists this long non-coding RNA (232 nucleotides) under Elaeis guineensis (African oil palm). Its description in RNAcentral is "long non-coding RNA (EGUI_LNC040114)". Lineage: Eukaryota; Viridiplantae; Streptophyta; Magnoliopsida; Arecales; Arecaceae. The record is from RNAcentral.
UCGAUCGUAAUGGUCACCUUAAAGAGCAAAUUACUAAGGAAUGGUUUUCCCAACUCAUUAGAGAAGAUUUAUCCCCAUGACUUUGCCAACAUGUUGGCUCAAAUGGAGAAGUAUGCAAGAGCAGAUGAAGCAUUUGAGAAUGAACCUCCAAUGAAUAUGGUCGCCAAAAAAAAGAAAGAAGAAAAGCUGGAAUCCCUGCUAAAGGAUCAACAAUAUUUUCAUUCUCCACCCA